UACGAAGGGUGCAAGCGUUACUCGGAAUUACUGGGCGUAAAGCGUGCGUAGGUGGUGAGUUAAGUCUGUCGUGAAAGCCCAGGGCUCAACCCUGGGAUGCCGGUUGAUACUGCCAAGCUCGAGUCCGGAAGAGGAGUGUGGAAUUCCUGGUGUAGCGGUGAAAUGCGCAGAUAUCAGGAGGAACACCAAUGGCGAAGGCAGCACUCUGGGACGUGACUGACGCUGAGACGCGAAAGCGUGGGGAGCAAACAGG
RNAcentral lists this ribosomal RNA (253 nucleotides) under uncultured bacterium. Its description in RNAcentral is "partial 16S ribosomal RNA". It matches the Rfam family "Bacterial small subunit ribosomal RNA", at positions 524 to 776 of the family's 1533-position model. The record is from RNAcentral.